GGCUCAGAUUGAACGCUGGCGGCAGGCCUAACACAUGCAAGUCGGACGGUAGCACAGAGAGCUUGCUCUUGGGUGACGAGUGGCGGACGGGUGAGUAAUGUCUGGGGAUCUGCCCGAUAGAGGGGGAUAACCACUGGAAACGGUGGCUAAUACCGCAUAACGUCGCAAGACCAAAGAGGGGGACCUUCGGGCCUCUCACUAUCGGAUGAACCCAGAUGGGAUUAGCUAGUAGGCGGGGUAAUGGCCCACCUAGGCGACGAUCCCUAGCUGGUCUGAGAGGAUGACCAGCCACACUGGAACUGAGACACGGUCCAGACUCCUACGGGAGGCAGCAGUGGGGAAUAUUGCACAAUGGGCGCAAGCCUGAUGCAGCCAUGCCGCGUGUAUGAAGAAGGCCUUCGGGUUGUAAAGUACUUUCAGCGGGGAGGAAGGCGACGGGGUUAAUAACCCUGUCGAUUGACGUUACCCGCAGA
RNAcentral lists this ribosomal RNA (473 nucleotides) under Pantoea sp. RNAcentral's name for it is "bacterial SSU rRNA". It matches the Rfam family "Bacterial small subunit ribosomal RNA", at positions 21 to 485 of the family's 1533-position model. Lineage: Bacteria; Pseudomonadati; Pseudomonadota; Gammaproteobacteria; Enterobacterales; Erwiniaceae. The record is from RNAcentral.